Arachis stenosperma is the source of this 1578-nucleotide RNA transcript. It is a transcript of the gene named peroxidase 25-like, with no coding region annotated. The transcript has 11 exons. Lineage: Eukaryota; Viridiplantae; Streptophyta; Magnoliopsida; Fabales; Fabaceae. The record is from RefSeq and is a predicted model, not a curated record.
AUAAGUGCCUGAAGGAGAGAAACCAUCAAGUAAUUAAAAACAAAUUCAAGUUUCUAUAGGAAUACUAGUUUCUUCAAUUUCUGGUAUCAUUGUUGGUGCAAAAUGGAUGCCAUAUUGAGCUACCUAGUUAUGUUUAUGAUGAUGACUUUGGCAGUAGUUCAAGCCCAACUAAGAACAGGGUUUUAUUCUAGUUCAUGCCCAAGUGCUGAGGCCAUUAUACGGUCCACUGUUGAAUCUCACUUCAACAAAGAUCCUACCAUUGCUCCUGGCCUUCUCAGGCUUCAUUUCCAUGAUUGCUUUGUACAGGGGUGCGAUGGUUCAAUUUUGAUUGCAGACUCUUCUGCAGAAAGGAAUGCAGUGCAAAACAUUGGUCUAAGAGGUUUUGAAGUCAUUGAUGAUGCAAAAUCACAGAUAGAAGCUACAUGCCCUGGAGUUGUCUCAUGUGCUGACAUUCUAGCAUUGGCAGCCAGGGAUGCAGUCCAUUUGAGUGGUGGUCCAAGUUGGCUAGUACCAACAGGAAGAAGAGACGGGAGGAUUUCUUCAUCAAAUCAAGCCUCAAACAUGCCUUCUCCGCUUGACCCGGUUUCUGUCCAGAAGCAAAAAUUUUCAGCCAAAGGUCUAGAUGUUCAUGACCUUGUCACCUUAUUAGAAUCAAUCAUGUAUUGUUGAAUGCGAUAUCACUAAAGAUGUUGAAAAAACUCGCUCAAGGCUGGCUUGAACACAGUUUUGGGGGAAAAAGCUUGCAUGCAUCAGAUUGGCCCAGCAAAAAAAAAUGGUGGGGAAAAAGAUCACCGAAACUUAAUUGAGCUUCGUUUGGGUGAAAAUGCGGCUCAAAAGAUAAAAAUAAAUUGUGGUCUUGGAGGUUCAAUGCUACCUGUAUUCGUUUUGGACAGAUCUGUGGAGCUCUGAUGCUGUUGGAGAAGUGUUAUUCCUUUUUUCAAGUUAUCUUAGGAAGUUACCAAACCAACUAUACUCAAGAUCUGCGAAAUGUAUUGUGGCAUAUAUACAGCAAGAUGCAGAAUAAGGAAAAAGGAUACACCCUAUUGUACACUUCGAUAUAAGCAUUUAUGACCAUGGAGACAUUUUGUGCAUAGUAAACUUCAGAUAUAAUUUGUGGCUCAACCACCUCGAGGGAUCUUGGUAUGGUUGCAUAAAUCCUGCCACCCUGUGACAACGAAGUGAAUACUUAAAGAGUCUCCUACCAGGUUGAGAAGUAGUGGAGAGUUUCAGGUCUCCCGCCAGGAUUGUUUAAUGACAAAAAGUGGAUAUUUGAAUUAUAUAUAUGACUGGUUUACUUCAUGUGCAUUGUAAUGUCAGAUUUACCCAUUGUAUGUUGCUUAAAUUUCUUACUUACCCUGCAUGCCACUUGUCAUUCAAGAAACUGCUACACGUGUCGAGCGUAGAACCAUUACUUGUCUCCUAUUAUAUAUUAAUAGAUUGGUGCAAUUAAGAUCUCGAAAAUUAUUUUAAUAUACGCGGUCAAUCUCAGGGACUAUUUUAAAACUUAAUUCAAAAUUUCACAAUUUUGUUUCAUCUAAUAAUAGAUGAUAAAUGAGUUAGACGUGUAAAAUUCAUACU